This 72-nucleotide ribosomal RNA is filed under the name Gossypium arboreum. The record is from RNAcentral. Lineage: Eukaryota; Viridiplantae; Streptophyta; Magnoliopsida; Malvales; Malvaceae.
GCAGUUAAGCGUGCUUGGGCGAGAGUAGUACUAGGAUGGGUGACCUUCUGGGAAGUCCUCGUGUUCCACCCG